GUGUUUACAUUAUAAGCGAGUCAAUAAGUUGACGUUAAUUGCUGCUUUAUUUAAAAACAAGGCCACUAACUAGAUGGUUGCACAGCACGAGCGUUUUAAAAAGUUGUGGUGACUGUUUUUUAACAGUGCCUCACCCUUCCACACUCUCAGAGUGGGUAAAUAACAUGAAGCUGAGCUGUGGACUGAAGUUAGCUAUAUUUAUAUAUUGAACUAUUUCAUAUUUUCCGAGGGUGUGGAUGGUGAAGAGCUACAGAACUAUAAGAGCACAGAGGCAUACAACUACCUUUAUAGUAACAAAAUAGGAAAGUUAUUGUAUAAAAAAUACGGUGUCAUUUUUUUGAAAGCUGAGGUAGAGUCGUCAGACCAUCAGCCGAAGUAAACAUCAAGCGUUACCUCAGCUUUAAAAAAAAAAUCGAGUUUUGUAUACAAUACCUUUCCUAUAAUAUGUAAAUAAAUGAUCUUUUUUGCAUCCGGAUCAGAAUACAGCUCUGUAUGAUUCUUUUUAACAAAGUGAAACGAGCAAACAUAUAUAUCUUCUUUCAGUUUUAAAGCUGCAAUCCUCGCUGGGCUCCCUCCCUUUUCCUUUAAAUGUAAUGCAAAAAAAACGGCGCCGGACACAAACAGUGUUCACGAAGCUGCUGGUGUUCAAAGCAUGUCAUUUCCAACAACUUCAACUUUUUCAACUUAGCUAGCAGUGCUAAAAUGCUAACGCGAGCUAGACCAAAAAAACGGCAAACGGAACUAUAAUGGGAUGUCAUGGCAGCCCCCCCUUGGGAUUUUUUUGGAGAAAAAGAUAGUAUGAGAGAGACUCACAAUGGGACAGGAACACUUCCAUCACCUCAGUCCAUCCCAAGGGCAGCUGUGGUCUAA
RNAcentral lists this long non-coding RNA (870 nucleotides) under Astyanax mexicanus (Mexican tetra). RNAcentral describes it as "lncRNA (ENSAMXG00005014509.1)". The record is from RNAcentral. Lineage: Eukaryota; Metazoa; Chordata; Actinopteri; Characiformes; Acestrorhamphidae.